CCUACGGGUGGCAGCAGUGAGGAAUAUUGGUCAAUGGACGAGAGUCUGAACCAGCCAAGUAGCGUGAAGGAUGACUGCCCUAUGGGUUGUAAACUUCUUUUAUAUGGGAAUAAAAUGUUCCACGUGUGGGAUUUUGUAUGUACCAUAUGAAUAAGGAUCGGCUAACUCCGUGCCAGCAGCCGCGGUAAUACGGAGGAUCCGAGCGUUAUCCGGAUUUAUUGGGUUUAAAGGGAGCGUAGGUGGAUUGUUAAGUCAGUUGUGAAAGUUUUCGGCUCAACCGUAAAAUUGCAGUUGAAACUGGCAGUCUUGAGUACAGUAGAGGUGGGCGGAAUUCGUGGUGUAGCGGUGAAAUGCUUAGAUAUCACGAAGAACUCCGAUUGCGAAGGCAGUUCACUGGACUGCAACUGACACUGAGGCUCGAAAGUGUGGGUAUCAAACAGGAUUAGAUACCCUUGUAGUC
Molecule: ribosomal RNA, 460 nt
Filed under: uncultured bacterium
Lineage: Bacteria
Description: partial 16S ribosomal RNA
Rfam family: Bacterial small subunit ribosomal RNA
Source: RNAcentral